AGUGGGAUUCGUAAGUUUGCCUCCUCCCAGAAGUUAACGGUCACGUCUCCCGCGCGUGCAACGUUCAGCUUCUUCUUCUUCCGGCGGUUACUGCGCUGCCCGUUGUGCAGUGUGGGGCAGAAAUGGCUCGAGUUUGGAAGAAACAGCAAAGCUCUCUGUAAAGGUUAACGACUAACGUAUUGGAGUGUCAAAAUGACCAGAUGAAAACCUGGAAAACGAUGGAGAAGGACUGGUAAUGAAGAAGACCCAAAUAAACGACCAAGACGGGCUGCACAAUUGUCAUCCCUCCCUGCAGCCACCAGUGUUCAUGUGGAGACUGAUCAGCAAUAUUUAGGAGGUAGCAGCAGCGGAACACAGUAGGGGGGGUGCCUCCUGGAGGAACCCAAAACGCUGCACUUCAAGGGCAACACGCCCAACCUCCAGGUGUCCAUGCAGGAUGUGACGCACUCACUCUCGGACAUCAAGCCUCUCACCACCUGCCAGCACAACGUAGCGUGGCACAAGAGAGUAUUUCUAUCGAAGACAAUGAAGAACCAUCUUCCAGAUCAGCCUUCAGAGAUCCUCCUGAUGACCUAACAACUGAACUACAUGGCAAUGCUGAGUAUGAUCCAUCUCAAUUAUUUGAGGAAGCUCUCCCUGAUGUGGGGGAUUUGACAUGUAUGAUGAUGGACAUUUGUUCAAUGAGGGAUUUGAAGAGGGUUUGAGUGAGGACUGUGCAGAAGAGUCAAAUUUCAAGGACACAACACACAAACCAUUAUAUGACAAUGCAUCAGUAACUGUUGCAGAGAGCCUUCUGGUCAUCAUGGCUUACGUAAACUGUCAUAAAGUAACUGAUAAGGCCCUUAGUGAUUUGCUUAAAAUGUUCAAGUUGCUUUGUCCUGAUAGUCUGAAUACAGACUGCUUAAACAGUGUACAGAAGUUAAAAGACUUUUUUUUUCUCACAUGCUGCAUCAUCUCCUAUUAUAUUGCAUAAAUAUUACAAUACUUGUUUUGGUUCAUUAGAAGGUGAACAAUUACAAUGUCUAUCUUGUGGGACCAGUGUGUCAGAAGAAAGAUCCUCAUCCUUCAUAGAGGUUCCAAUUGAGGCCCAAAUAAGGUCAUUGUUUCUCAAGCCAGGUUUUCAGGAGAAACUUAACUUUAGAUUAAGCAGGAAGAAGACAGAUCCUAACAACAUUGAAGAUAUAUAUGAUGCAGAAAUUUACAAACAGCUUGUAGAUGGGGGUGGUCCUCUUAGUGACCCUAAAAACAUCUCACUUACUUGGAAUACAGAUGGGGUAGCUAUUUUCAAAUUGUCCAAGUUUUCAGUGUGGCCUUUUUAUUGUAUCAUCAAUGAACUGAGUUUCAUGGAACGCACAAAAAGAGAGAAUAUGAUAUUUGCUGGACUUUGGUAUGGGGACUCAAAACCAUCCAUGGUUACAUUCCUUAGACCACUAGGUGACACACUGAGUAAACUUGCAGAUGAUGGAAUUCUUGUGCAACCUGCAGAGUUGACAUCUGAACGUUUUGUGUGUAAAGUGCUCACCAUUGCUGGAACAUGCAACUUACCUGCUAAAGCAUUAGUCCUUAAUUCAGUGCAAUACAAUGGGAAAUUUGGAUGUCAUAAAUGUAAGCAGCCAGGAGAGACUGUAAAGACAGGGGAAAGGGGACAUGUUCAUGCAUUUCCAUACCAACAUAGAGAUCCAAAAGGCCCACUGCGCACAAAUGAAAAGUUUGCUCUUGAUAUGAAAAUCUUAAAUGAGACCAAAACCACCGUUAAAGGGGUGAAGGGUCCCUGUUGGCUUAGCAAACUUAAAAGUUAUAACCUUAUCAAAGGCACUGCCAUAGAUUACAUGCACUCAGUCCUUCUUGGAAUAAUGCGCCUUUUGAUGGUUCUGUGGUUUUCUCCAGAGUUUUCUCGUCAGCCCUUCAGCAUGGCAAAAAAUGCAAAGGAAAUUGACAGGCGAUUUCAGGAUAUCUCUCCUCCAUCCUCCACUCGAUAUCCUCGAUCAGUGGCAUCUCACAGAAUGUUUUUUAAAGCAUCAGAAUAUUGGGAUAUUUUGAUCUUCUAUGGACCUGUUGUUUUCCGUGGAAUUCUUGCAACACUGUACUACAAGCACUUCCUUCUACUAAGUGAAGCCAUUUUCAUUUUUUUGAUGGAAUCCAUAUCAGUUGAACAGAUUGAUCAUGCAGAGAAACUACUGUAGAACUUUUGUUCCCAAAUGGCUAAUCUAUAUGGUGAGCGGUACGAAACUGCAAAUGUACACCUUCUUGUGCACCUAGCAGACAGUGUGAAGGCCCUUGGUCCAUUAUGGACUCAUUCGUGUUUCCAUUUUGAGGACAAGAAUGGCUAUUUGUUAAGGCUCAUACAUGGCACUCAAAAUAUACCUAUGCAGAUGGUCCAUGCAGUCAAACUUGUGCAGUCUAUUCCUGUUAUUUCACAAACCAUAAAACCAGGGAAUGCCAUAGCUGAAUUUUACACACGGAUGACUAAAGAUGAUAGUUUCUGUCAGGAAAACAAUGAUUUGUCUAGGACCAAACUAUAUGGAGCAUCUAGUGAACUUCAACUGGACACAGUUCACCUCUCUACAUUGGAAAGACAUACUGGUCAUUGCAUCAGUUCUAAAACAGUAAGGAUCUUUCACAGGGCACAAGUUAAGAGAAAUUAUCUCACAU
This is a long non-coding RNA of Perca flavescens (yellow perch), 2652 nucleotides long. RefSeq lists it as uncharacterized. The transcript is spliced from 5 exons. NCBI's taxonomy places the organism in Eukaryota, Metazoa, Chordata, Actinopteri, Perciformes, Percidae. The record is from RefSeq and is a predicted model, not a curated record.